UUGGUUCUCCCGCAACGCUAACUUGUUAACUCGGUCAGGUCCGGAAGGAAGCAGCCAUGGCAGGUGUCGCGUGUGCCGGGAUGUCGCUG
Molecule: signal recognition particle RNA, 89 nt
Filed under: Proteus vulgaris
Lineage: Bacteria; Pseudomonadati; Pseudomonadota; Gammaproteobacteria; Enterobacterales; Morganellaceae
Also listed under: 4 other names
Description: Bacterial small signal recognition particle RNA
Rfam family: Bacterial small signal recognition particle RNA
About the family: The signal recognition particle (SRP) is a universally conserved ribonucleoprotein involved in the co-translational targeting of proteins to membranes. Archaeal SRP consists of a 7S RNA and homologues of the eukaryotic SRP19 and SRP54 proteins.
Source: RNAcentral